RNAcentral lists this ribosomal RNA (775 nucleotides) under uncultured Neocallimastigales. RNAcentral describes it as "partial large subunit ribosomal RNA". It matches the Rfam family "Eukaryotic large subunit ribosomal RNA", at positions 24 to 649 of the family's 3401-position model. Lineage: Eukaryota; Fungi; Neocallimastigomycota; Neocallimastigomycetes; Neocallimastigales. The record is from RNAcentral.
UAUCUCUGUAGAGUCUGCAUAUCAAUAAGCGGAGGAAAAGAAACUAACAAGGAUUCCCUUAGUAACGGCGAGUGAAGCGGGAAGAGCUCAAAUUUGAAAUCUUCAAGGUUCUACCUUGACGAAUUGUAGUUUAUAAGAAGUGUUUUCUGUUAGUGGAGUGGCAAAAGUUCUUUGGAAUAGGACAUCAUAGAGGGUGAGAAUCCCGUAUUUGGUCAUUCCUCCUAGCUUUGUGAUACACUUUCAACGAGUCGGAUUGUUUGGGAAUGCAGUCCAAAAUGGGUGGUAAAUUUCAUCUAAAGCUAAAUAUUGGCGAGAGACCGAUAGCGAACAAGUACCGUGAGGGAAAGAUGAAAAGAACUUUGAAAAGAGAGUUAAACAGUACGUGAAAUUGUCAAAAGGGAAGCGUUUGGCACCAGUGUUGUUUUUCCGAAAAUCAAUUACGAAUGUUUUAUUUUUGAGGAGUUAUGACUUCAUCGGCUUGCUCCUUUCUUUAUGAAACUUUCUUAAUGCACUUUUCGGUUAACAAGUCAACAUCAAUUUCUUUUGUUGUAAAAGGGUAUGAGGAAGGUGGCUUUCUUUUCGGAGAAAGUGUUUAUAGCCUUGUGCCUCUGCAGUCGGAGAGAUUGAGGUCUGCAGCGUAGAUCCUUCGGGGUUAGAUACAUUUGUGCUAAGUUAUAGCUUUUCAUAGACAACUUGUUGACUAUGUUUAGUCUUGUAGCUUACUCGCUUAUGCUAUUUUACCUACGCUUAGGAUGUUGAGUAGCGACAUACGCAC